This 253-nucleotide ribosomal RNA is filed under the name uncultured bacterium. RNAcentral describes it as "partial 16S ribosomal RNA". It matches the Rfam family "Bacterial small subunit ribosomal RNA", at positions 524 to 776 of the family's 1533-position model. The record is from RNAcentral.
UACGGAGGGAGCUAGCGUUGUUCGGAAUUACUGGGCGUAAAGCGCACGUAGGCGGCUUUGUAAGUUAGAGGUGAAAGCCCGGAGCUCAACUCCGGAACUGCCUUUAAGACUGCAUCGCUUGAAUCCAGGAGAGGUGAGUGGAAUUCCGAGUGUAGAGGUGAAAUUCGUAGAUAUUCGGAAGAACACCAGUGGCGAAGGCGGCUCACUGGACUGGUAUUGACGCUGAGGAGCGAAAGCGUGGGUAGCAAACAGG